Populus euphratica (Euphrates poplar) is the source of this 107-nucleotide long non-coding RNA. RefSeq lists it as uncharacterized. The record is from RefSeq and is a predicted model, not a curated record. The transcript is spliced from 3 exons. Lineage: Eukaryota; Viridiplantae; Streptophyta; Magnoliopsida; Malpighiales; Salicaceae.
UACUAUUUGAGAAUAAAUGUAAUAUUUUUUCUAAUUCAUCUAGGAUGAUAAAUCCUCUCUUAAUCACUCAAGUACCUUCAUAUAGUUCAUGUUAUACCUAAUAUCUA